RNAcentral lists this ribosomal RNA (793 nucleotides) under uncultured archaeon. RNAcentral describes it as "bacterial SSU rRNA". It matches the Rfam family "Archaeal small subunit ribosomal RNA", at positions 85 to 879 of the family's 1478-position model. The record is from RNAcentral.
ACUGCUCAGUAACACGUAGUUAACCUAACCUAUGGAUGGGGAUAACCUCGGGAAACUGAGAAUAAUCCCCGAUAGAUCACAAUGCCUGGAAUGGUUUGUGAUUCAAAUGAUUUAUCGCCGUAGGAUGGGACUGCGGCCUAUCAGCUAGUUGGUGAGGUAAUGGCCCACCAAGGCUAUAACAGGUACGGGCUCUGAGAGGAGGGGCCCGGAGAUGGGUACUGAGACACGGACCCAGGCCCUAUGGGGCGCAGCAGGCGAGAAACCUUUGCAAUGUGCGAAAGCACGACAAGGUUAAUCCGAGUGUCUUCUGCUAAAGAAGUCUUUUGUUAGUCAUAGAACCACUGAUGAAUAAGGGGUGGGCAAGUUCUGGUGUCAGCCGCCGCGGUAAAACCAGCACCUCGAGUGGUCAGGAGGUUUAUUGGGCCUAAAGCAUCCGUAGCCGGUUGUUUAAGUUUCCGGUUAAAUCUAUGCGCUUAACGUAUAGGCUGCCGAAAAUACUGGACAGCUAGGGAGUGGGAGAGGUACACGGUACUCAAUAGGAAGGGGUAAAAUCCUUUGAUCUGUUGAUGACCACCUGUGGCGAAGGCGGUGUACCAGAACACGUUCGACGGUGAGGGAUGAAAGCUGGGGGAGCAAACCGGAUUAGAUACCCGGGUAGUCCCAGCUGUAAACGAUGCAAACUCGGUGAUGCAUUGGCUUGUGGCCAAUGCAGUGCCGCAGGGAAGCCGUUAAGUUUGCCGCCUGGGAAGUACGUACGCAAGUAUGAAACUUAAAGGAAUUGGCGGGGGAGCAC